Molecule: ribosomal RNA, 458 nt
Filed under: uncultured bacterium
Lineage: Bacteria
Description: partial 16S ribosomal RNA
Rfam family: Bacterial small subunit ribosomal RNA
Source: RNAcentral
CCUACGGGUGGCAGCAGUGGGGAAUAUUGCACAAUGGGGGAAACCCUGAUGCAGCGACGCCGCGUGAGUGAAGAAGUACUUCGUUACGUAAAGCUCUAUCAGCAGGGAAGAAAUACUGACCUUACGGUCAGCAGACGGUAUCUGAGUAAGAAGCCCCGGCUAACUACGUGCCAGCAGCCGCGGUAAUACGUAGGGGGCAAGCGUUAUCCGGAUUUCUUGGGUGUAAAGGGAGCGUAGACGGUGCGCCAAGUCUGGAGUGAAAUGCCGGGGCUUAACUCCGGAACUGCUUUGGAAACUGGCGAGCUAGAGUGCGGGAGGGGUAGGCGGAAUUCCUAGUGUAGCGGUGAAAUGCGUAGAUAUUAGGAGGAACACCGGUGGCGAAGGCGGCUUACUGGACCGUAACUGACGUUGAGGCUCGAAAGCGUGGGGAGCAAACAGGAUUAGAUACCCGAGUAGUC